RNAcentral lists this ribosomal RNA (5472 nucleotides) under Triticum aestivum (bread wheat). RNAcentral describes it as "partial small subunit ribosomal RNA". Lineage: Eukaryota; Viridiplantae; Streptophyta; Magnoliopsida; Poales; Poaceae. The record is from RNAcentral.
CCUCUAUGUUUAAGACCUCUUUCUUUUGGCGUGACCAUAUCCCCAAGACAAUGAGACCAAAAUAGGGGGGCUGCGGAGGAGUCGCCGCCGGCGUGCGUCGCCCCCGCUUGUAAGGCAGCUCGGACCGUCAUCGAGGGCCUCCGGGGCCGCGGGGCCGUCGUAGGUGGGACACUCGGCGAGGGCGAAGCGACCGAAGCAGGAUCGGGCGUCGACGCAGUUCCGUAUGCUCCAGUUAGGUAAGUAAAUAGCGGUUAGGUACAAAGAAGAGGGAUCUGGUCAGGAAGUAAAGAACCCAGAACGUAACGGGCUUCAUAACAAGACUAAACGAUUGACUCCUCCACUUUCUAGCUACCCUCCAACCUUAAAGCCUUGGGAUCCCGCACCAGCAAACUACGACAACCAACUAUGGCGCUACUCUGCCUUAUGAAACUAAAAUCCACACUACAUACCCAAGUUUAACGCUAGAACGCGCAGAUUACCAGGGCUGAAGCCAAAACGCUCUAGAGAAUCCAGACCCAGUAACAAAACAACCUAUAUAUAUAUAUAUACCUGAGGAGAAAAUAUGAGGGUCCUCAUACAUGAGGGUGGGAUAAUUAACCGGGUUAGUUACCUAAUUAAUUAAUUUUAUAAUCAUUUAAUACAACGUACGCGUUUGUUGGAGGUUCUAACAUCCAUUGGCCACGUACAAUAGGUUACCUUUACGACCAAAACAAUGCCUUCACUCUACGUGAAACUUGCGUUUGCCAUAUAUGGAAAGUAAACCAAAACAAUGAUAUAUGGGAAACAUGGAGAAGUCUAACCCUUGCUUCGCACAUUUUAUAUCCGGAAAAAGUAGAUGUAGUACGAUCGUCAUGUAUGGAGUAUCCACGGGUUGCGUGUACGUUCUGUAUAUGAUGUAAAAUAAAUAUUUCUCCAGACAUGACGGAAAAAUUCAUCAAAUACGACUUGAAAAACUUCCUCAUAUAUGAGUGUUUUAAAUUCCUCAUACAUGACGGUAAAAACUUCCUCAUAUAUUACGGUAAAAAAACUUCCUCAUAUAUGGUCGUUUUAUGAGUCUUCCCAUAUAUGACGGUAAACAAAUUCUUCAUAUAUGACGUAACAAAAACCUUAUCACACGACGUCAAAGAAAGACUUCUAAAGUGGUUUCGUCAUAUAUAUGAUGUAGUUUUCCUCAUGUAUAUACGUAAGUAGGUAAGCGUCUUGUUAAUUAAUCAUAUAAGUAGACUUUAUUUUCCAUUGAAAUAUUUUUUUAGUCAAGUAUACGUAGUCCUCAUGUAUAUGUAGUAGUUAAAAAAACGUGCCUUGUAUAUGCAGUAGUAGUUAUUCUUUGUACUCUAGUGAGCAGCACGUACGUAGUUUGAAGUGGUACCGGCGAGGCGGCGUGUACCGGCAGCCGCCGCCGCAUUACAUAGGUUUCUGUAUGUGGGACGUAAAUGUUUAAUCUAGCCUACCGUAAUUAAGUAACUUCACGUGGAUUUUUGUUAGCCUACCGUAGGGAUUAACAAAUGGUCUUAAACCUUAAUUUAUUUAAGUAUGUUUGGUACUUGUCUUCUUUUUAGGGGUUUAGAUUUAAACCCUGAUAAACGUACACCGUAUACCCGUAUCUUCCGUAGGAGGACAAACUAACUGGGAUACUUUUAAUCUGCUCUUACUCAACGGUUUACAUGCUCCUCUAUGUUGGGACAGCACGGUGAAUAGUCUAGACACCACCAAGAACCGUAUUGGACUUGCUUCCUUAUUCUUCUUAUAGACAGCCUCAAUUACUUCGAGAUGCUCUUAACAACGGCACUCCUUAAUACAUACAUAUACCAUCACUCUGUUUAACUAGUCCAUGGACCGUAUACUAACCACCUGAAGUUUUCGUCGAUUGACGCCAACCUCUUGAACCUCGUCCUAAGUGUAGUUGCCCUUUUUCUUGUUCCGCGGCGACCUCACGUGGAAGCUAGAAUAAAGUGGGUACCGGUGGCACGGCUUUUCGUUGGACCAGUCAGUGCAGUAGUGUUAACCGCCACUCUUCUACCUGGAGGGCUAGUUUGACAAGAACCGGCGACGGCAUCGGCAGGUAGGUACACUCGGCGGCGGCGUCAACCUACGGUUACUUUGUCCUCCUCUCUACCUAUUCGCCAGUUUACCUAUUCCACCAGACUGCCGUUGAUAUUUCUCUUCGGUCUUUUUAGCCUCAUUACUGGUGCUAAAGCCAACUCUAAAACGUACAUAAAAAAGGGAGAUUUAUUUCGCUUAAUCUAUCGUGCUCCCUUACUCGCUCGCACACUGUGCGCGCAUCCUCAUACAUGAGGAUCCUCAUGAUUGGAUAAAAGGAUAUAUAUAUACACACACACACACACACACACACACACACACACACACACAUAUAUCCUAACAAAACGACCUAUAUUAUCCAAGUCUAAUGCCAAACCUCCCAAAAUCUAGACAAAGUGAAUGACGUACGAAGCCAAACCGAUUUUAUUGUUGAACGACCCGAAAGCCCGAAAACUAUGGUGUUAUCGUCUACAGGUUACCAAUAACCGUCCCCACAUUUAAGACGUUUAUAACGGAUGGACAGGUGCUUGUGAACCAGUCACUAAGACCACAGGACAUCCUAAGAUUCGAGCUUUGUCCCAGUCCCAAACCUUGUUAUACACUUACAGUCAAAGACGUUUACACAAACUGGUCUUUUUUACCUCAGUGUGUCUAUCGGUCACCGUCCAACCUUGUUUCCUUCGUCCUUUUAGUUCCCCGUUAUCAAUAAACACACAUUUGUUGUCCAGUAAGUCCCUAAGUGGUCGAGUGUCUGAAUGAUAUCCAGUUAUUAAUUAAGGCCCGACAGGAAUAAUUGGUCACCUAUGGGAACCGACCAUCUAUAGUCGUACUAAUUUUUUUUUAUGGCGUCCCCAAAGGGGAUGACAAACCGGCAAUUUUUUUUUCGUCGUACUAACAAUAGGAUCUGUAACCCUAACUAGUGUGGAUAUAACAAGUAUAUCAUUAACAAAAAUCGUUAAAGACGAAAAUUACGAUAAACGUGGAUCCUUCAAUUGUCGCACCUAAUAAAUAUGAACACAUUAAAACUGAACGUCUUUGAAGAUUUGACGAAUAAAAGACUUACAGUGAACAGGAUCGGGUAGCUUAAUGUAAGCUCAUCUAGAGAAGGGACGUAUGUAAGCAUUGCCGUACAAGAUGAUCUGCUUAAGAAUGGUUGUCAAGUCAAUAACCCGCACGACUGAAUAAACAACGUUCGUCCGGGACGAUAGACGGUCGAUAUAAACUAGAAAUGAUAAAUCGAACCGUUGUCCUGAUACGAAUAGUGAUAGUACAAUAGUACAUAGAAAAAAGAGUCAUUGACAGGAUUUUGAGUACUGAUGGAAGCAGUAACACACGACUUACAUCAACCCUCGAAUGUACCGAUACGACGGUUCACUAAACAGUGUAGUACCUUAACAUCUUUUAUCGGGGAUGUCUUAAUGUUUCUCGCCCUUAUUCCUUCGACCGUUUGAAUCACGAAGUACCAUAAAGUCAUCUUUCCUUUAUCUUCUCUUAAGAGGCAGGUUCUCCCUACCGUAACUAAAUUUCUUUCUCUGAAUGGAAGCCUUUAGCAUAACGUGAAUAGAUGUUCUAAACCCCUACGCCGAGUUUCACGGUGUUCACUGUUAACGAUGUAGAUAACACAAGACAGUGGCAAAAAUGGAAGCAGUUAGAGUACGUUUUUUACUAUCUGCUUGUUAGCGAUGACAAACGUACAAGAACCGACCUUUUCAGCUUCUUUGUGGAUCCGGAAACUUCCUACAGUAGGACCAAAGAAUGCUCGAAUAAGUAUUUUUCCUAGGACGACGACCAGUCUUUUAGUUCGUCUCCCUUCAUAUACUAGUUGUUUUUCUUGAGUAAAAUGAACCCCUCGCUCAACAUGAACGUUGUGAACCAAAACUGGAAUUACACGUGGUAGGAAUGUUCGGGAACCAACUUUGUUAUUUCUUUAAGUUCUAAUGAGUAUUACGCGAAGGAGUCCAACGGACCUUAAAACAGUUACUACCCGACGCGUGAAGUGAGACAGACGUUAAGUUCGGGGUAGUAUAACGUCGUCCACGAGAGAAAAACCGACCAUUCAAAGAGUUUCACUUUAAAGAAGGUCUACUGCCACUCUUCCGAACCAUAGUCCUCAAACUACACUGUGGUUCUGUCGACCUUCUCCAAUCGUUAGUUUACAAUCUCGACAUACUCGUUUUGGCACAACAUGUCAGCGUUGGUUGUUUACCCUUACUUCGACUUCCCUCGAGUCGACCACACGGAUUAGUUUCCUAGAGGCAUUUUCGUCUUCGGUUGAGCCUCCUUGGAGCACAACACGUAGUAGGUCGUAGGUUUGUCGGUCUAAGGUUAGGGAGAUGUAGUUGUCCACAAGGUUAAGUGUUACCACGACUCGUGAGUUUCGGUGUGUUCGUCUAACCAUCGGUCUUUUCAGAAGUCUCACUGUUACCACCGGUACUUUUGCUGUUUUGUUCGUCAGUCUCACCUCCAUCUCAACUAUGAUCAUGUUUCCUACCAAACGUACUACCGUGUUUCAGGAACAGCUCUUCAAGGUCCGGGUCGCUGUUUGGACCAUAAGGUUGUCUUCUCUUUGGAGAAGGUAGCGUACGAUCAAGCUCACUUAACUCUCUACCAUUAGAGUCAUUGUCACCACUAGGGUCACAGAGUAGGAGGUACUACCUACGGUACUUAUUUUAACUGUUCCUGUUCCAUUUCCGUCGAAACCUCUUCGCUUCUUUUAACUUUCCACUACAACGAUCCUUCCAUGUACACUACCUACUACUGCUGGAUGAACUCUCCCUUAAUCUUGUACCACAUCUCAACCGACAACUCCUACUCUUCUAGUUCGUCCUCUCCUUGCUAACAUCAUACGUAGUUCUCCUAGUGGCAUUACGACUACCGCAACGUCUUUUACCACUGUUGUUACCACUAGUCUUACAAGGUCUCUGACGUUUUCUCCGACUUCAAGACCACCUGUAAUUUCUACUCGUAAGAGAUUGGUUCUCUUUACUACCAAAGCUCGUGUUCGGCGUCGUGGGAUCACUACGUGGUUUCGUGUCGCACUCGGUGGUACUACGAGUCGAACCACCAUCUGUACUUCUUGUAUUUUACGGAGCUGGGCUUCCAACUACCCAGUCUUAACUACAUCUUGGAUGAACCAUCUUAAGAGCCAUGCUUGUAUCCGUGCACACUGACCUCUACAUCGACGAGACCUGACAACUACUCUGUAUAGGUCCAGAAUUACAAACAUGGGUCUACAAAAACCUUGGGUAGUUGACUAACGUUGCCUCUAAACAAACACCCAGAGAUGGUCCCGCUCAUAAAAAAAAGAAAAGACUAUCUUCGUAGACUACAAAACUAAAAUACGCGACACCGUUUCAAAGAUUAAGGUCAUCGGGUUAAGAAGUGAACGCCUUAAAUUCUGAACUAACCUAUAUUUUUCAGAGUAUUAACAUG